GAUGAAGAACGUAGCGAAAUGCGAUAAGUAAUGUGAAUUGCAGAAUUUAGUGAAUCAUCGAAUCUUUGAACGCACCUUGCGCCUUUUGGUAUUCCGAAAGGCACACCUGUUUGAGCGUCAUGAAUACCUCAAUCUCCAUCUUUUCUUCGGAUUGAUGGGUGACUUGGAUGUUGAGCCCUGCUGGUAUGCUAUAUCAGCUGGCUUUAAACUUAUUAGCCGGCUCUGUACUGGAUCGGUUUGACUCGACGUGAUAAUAUUAUCGUUGAGGAUGCAUGUCUCAUGCAGCCGGAAAGUAUCAAAGCAGCUUCUAGCUUGCCUUUAGUGCACUUUUACAUUUUAGACCUCAGAUCAGGUGGGACUACCCGCUGAACUUAAGCAUAUCAAUAAGCGGAGGA
Molecule: unclassified non-coding RNA, 395 nt
Filed under: soil metagenome
Description: partial contains 5.8S ribosomal RNA, internal transcribed spacer 2, and large subunit ribosomal RNA
Rfam family: 5.8S ribosomal RNA (bases 1-120)
Source: RNAcentral